Molecule: ribosomal RNA, 252 nt
Filed under: uncultured bacterium
Lineage: Bacteria
Description: partial 16S ribosomal RNA
Rfam family: Bacterial small subunit ribosomal RNA
Source: RNAcentral
UACGUAGGUCCCGAGCGUUGUCCGGAUUUAUUGGGCGUAAAGCGAGCGCAGGUGGUUUAUUAAGUCUGGUGUAAAAGGCAGUGGCUCCACCAUUGUAUGCAUUGGAAACUGGUAGACUUGAGUGCAGGAGAGGAGAGUGGAAUUCCAUGUGUAGCGGUGAAAUGCGUAGAUAUAUGGAGGAACACCGGUGGCGAAAGCGGCUCUCUGGCCUGUAACUGACACUGAGGCUCGAAAGCGUGGGGAGCAAACAGG